CCGAAGUGUCGGGAGAAAAUCCUUUUGUGCCGGUCCCGAGGCUUCGGGAGGCACAAAAGAUUGAAACGUCCCGAGACUUCGG
This 82-nucleotide small RNA is filed under the name Flavobacterium sp. 9. RNAcentral describes it as "Flavo-1 RNA". The record is from RNAcentral. Lineage: Bacteria; Pseudomonadati; Bacteroidota; Flavobacteriia; Flavobacteriales; Flavobacteriaceae.